RNAcentral lists this ribosomal RNA (600 nucleotides) under Sporormiella africana. Its description in RNAcentral is "Preussia africana partial large subunit ribosomal RNA". It matches the Rfam family "Eukaryotic large subunit ribosomal RNA", at positions 48 to 661 of the family's 3401-position model. The record is from RNAcentral. Lineage: Eukaryota; Fungi; Ascomycota; Dothideomycetes; Pleosporales; Sporormiaceae.
AAGCGGAGGAAAAGAAACCAACAGGGAUUGCCCUAGUAACGGCGAGUGAAGCGGCAACAGCUCAAAUUUGAAAUCUGGCUCUUUCAGAGUCCGAGUUGUAAUUUGUAGAGGGUGCUUUGGCGUUGACUGUGGUCUAAGUUCCUUGGAACAGGACGUCGCAGAGGGUGAGAAUCCCGUAUGUGGCCGCCAGUCUUCGCCGUGUAAAGCCCCUUCGACGAGUCGAGUUGUUUGGGAAUGCAGCUCUAAAUGGGAGGUAAAUUUCUUCUAAAGCUAAAUAUUGGCCAGAGACCGAUAGCGCACAAGUAGAGUGAUCGAAAGAUGAAAAGCACUUUGGAAAGAGAGUCAAAAAGCACGUGAAAUUGUUGAAAGGGAAGCGCUUGCAGCCAGACUUGCCUGUAGUUGCUCAUCCGGGCUUUUGCCCGGUGCACUCUUCUAUAGGCAGGCCAGCAUCAGUCCUGGCGGUUGGAUAAAUGUCUGCACAAUGUACCUCUCCUCGGGGAGGACUUAUAGGGCAGGCGGCAUACAACCAGCCGGGAUUGAGGUCCGCGCAUCUGCUAGGAUGCUGGCGUAAUGGCUGUAAGCGGCCCCGUCUUGAAAACA